GAUGAACGCUGGCGGCGUGCCUAAUACAUGCAAGUCGAGCGAACAGACGAGGAUCUUGCUCCUCUGACGUUAGCGGCGGGCGGGUGAGUAACACGUGGAUAACCUACCUAUAAGAAUGGGAUAACUUCUGGAAACCGGAGCUAGUACCGGAUAAUAUAUUGAACCGCAGGGUUGAAUAGUGAAAGACGGUUUUGCUGUCACUGAUAUAUGGAUCCGCGCCGCAGUAGCUAGUUGGUAAGGUAACGGCUUACCAAGGCAACGAUGCGUAGCCGACCUGAGAGGGUGAUCGGCCACACUGGAACUGAGACACGGUCCAGACUCCGACGGGAGGCAGCAGUAGGGAAUCUUGCGAGAUGGGCGAAAGCCUGACGGAGCAAUGCCGCGUGAGUGAUGAAGGUCUUCGGAUCGUAAAACUCUGUUAUUAGGGAAGAAGAAAUGUGUAAGUAACUAUGCACGUCUUGACGGUACCUAAUCAGAAAGCAACGGCUAACUCCGUG
This 497-nucleotide ribosomal RNA is filed under the name uncultured bacterium. RNAcentral's name for it is "partial 16S ribosomal RNA". It matches the Rfam family "Bacterial small subunit ribosomal RNA", at positions 28 to 507 of the family's 1533-position model. The record is from RNAcentral.